CAGCAGCCGCGGGAAUACAGAGGGUGCGAGCGUUAAUCGGAUUUACUGGGCGUAAAGCGUGCGUAGGCGGCUUCUUAAGUCGGAUGUGAAAUCCCUGAGCUUAACUUAGGAAUUGCAUUCGAUACUGGGAAGCUAGAGUAUGGGAGAGGAUGGUAGAAUUCCAGGUGUAGCGGUGAAAUGCGUAGAGAUCUGGAGGAAUACCGAUAGCGAAGGCAGCCAUCUGGCCUAAUACUGACGCUGAGGUACGAAAGCAUGGGGAGCAAACAGGAUUAGAUACCCCAGUAGUCCCUGUCUCUUAUAC
RNAcentral lists this ribosomal RNA (301 nucleotides) under uncultured bacterium. RNAcentral's name for it is "partial 16S ribosomal RNA". It matches the Rfam family "Bacterial small subunit ribosomal RNA", at positions 509 to 807 of the family's 1533-position model. The record is from RNAcentral.